CUCUUGUCUGUUGUCAUCCGUUGUUGUUUCUAUGGGCGGCGGGAUGCUUAAAAACAACAGUCCGUAUGAUAAAUAAUCAUCAAACACUUUCCCCCCCCAACUUUAGACACUUUGAAGUUUGACGUCUCACAUAAACGAUAACUUGUUGUCGUGUUUUUCUUGUCAUGAGGCUACAAAAGUCAGCUUUGAGGAACAGUCUUCUUUCGUGACAUGACAAGUCGGUAGGACGCGUUGGCUUGAUCUUUGUCGAGAUGCCACCCAAGAAACCAAAGGACGCAACGGCAAACAUCUCCAGUUCCAUCGAGUCUGAGGACAUCAGUCUGGAGACAACAGUCCCCACAGAGGACAUAUCGUCUUCGGAUGAGAAAGAUGGCGCAGGGAAAGUCACAAAACAGCUCCUGGAAAGAAAAGAGCUGCUUCAUAACCUUCAAAAGCUGAAGAUAGAGCUGUCACAGAAAAAUCUGCUCAUAGACAACCUCAAAGUGGACCAUCUUACCAAGAUAGAAGAGCUGGAGGAAAGGCUGAACGAUGCUCUCCAUCAAAAACAGGUGCUCGCUCUGCGUCUGGACAGCCAGCUCAAACUACAGCAGGAUGAAAACAGGAAGCAGCAAGGCCUGAGGAAGCAGGAGAUGGACACCAUCAUGCUCAGACAGAAGCAGCUGGAGGAGACGAACCGUCAGCUGUGUGAUCGAGCAGGUGAUCUCCGCAGGAGCCUGAGGGACCUGGAGCUGUCUGAGGAGAAGUACAUUGAGCUGAAGGAACUGCCUGAGGACAAACUCACCAUCCCUGAAUAUGUGGCGAUUCGUUUCUAUGAGGUUGUGAACCCUCUGAGGGCUCUUACGACUGAGCUGCAGGUGAAAAAGGCUGACCUGACCGAGGAUCUGGACAGUCACCGCAACCAAAUCAGGUCACUAAUGGAGAGUUAUGAGGAAGAGAGGAGAGCGCGCUCCGAGCUGGAGAUCCGCUGUCAGAGACUCACACUGGAACUUGCUGACACCAAGCAGCUUAUUCAGGAAGGAGAUUACAAACGAGAGAACUAUGACAAAAUCAAACGAGAGAGAGAUGGGUAUGAAACGGAGGUAAGAGAGUUAAGGAAGAAGUUAGAAAUGCUGGACCUCACACAUACUGCUUUGACCAAAGAGAGGAAUGAGCUGAAUAAAGAGGUAUCCACUCUGCAGCAGUCUGUAACAUUGAUGCAGAAGGACAAGGAAUAUCUAAAUAAGCAGAACAUGGAGCUUAAUGUGCGCUGUGCUCAUCAAGAAGACCGUCUGGACAGACUGCAGACCCAGCUUGAGGACACAAAGAAGGCCAGGGAAGAUGCCUAUGAAAAAUAUGUUGUUUCUAGAGAUCAUUAUAAGACAGAGUAUGAAAACAAACUGCGUGAUGAACUGGAGCGCAUACGAAUGAAGACCAGUCAUGAGAUCGAGAGCCUGCAGAGGGCAUCUAAAGAGAUGUAUGAGAGAGAGAACAGAAACCUUCGUGAAACCCGAGAUAAUGCUGUCAUUGAGAAAGACAGAGCAUUGAAUGCAGAAAGAGAUGCCCAAGCCAAAUACGAUCAACUUUUGGACCAGUUCAGGCAGCUGCAGCUGGGUUCAGACAGCAGGGUGGCAGAACUGCUUAACCAGGUGAAGCUGAAAAAGUUUGAGUUGGAGCGUUCCCAGAUGGUCCAGGAGGAAACAGCCAGGAACCUCAGCCUUUGUCAAAUAGAGUGUGAAAAACACCAGAAAAAACUAGAGGUUCUAACAAAAGAGUUUUACGGGCUUCAGACAUCAGCAGACAAACGCAUCACCGAACUGCAAGCCCAGAAUUCUGAACAUCAAGCACGACUGGAGACAUACGAGCGAUUGGAAAAGGAGCUGGACGAUGUUACCAUGCAGGCUGCAGAGAUUGAAAAUGAAGAUGAGGCAGAGAGGGUGCUGUUUUCAUAUGGUUAUGGUGCAAACAUUCCAACAACUGCCAAGAGAAGACUGAAGCAAAGUGUUCACUUGGCACGCAGGGUUCUGCAGCUGGAGAAACAGAACACGCUGCUUAGGAGAGACCUGGAAAGACAGACGGCGCACAGCAGCCAGAUCUCUGAAGAGUUGGAGGCAGCCAACCAGCUUCUUCAGCAGGCCCAGCAGCCACAUAGCUACCUGAUUGAGACCGUUCGACAGAGAGACACUCAGAUCCACACGCUGAAAGACCAUCUCACGCGGUUAGAAGAGGAAGUGAGGUUUUUCUUGGCUUUGUCACAAAUCAAUGACAGGUGUAUUUUCCUACCUCUAUAUGCAAAGCAGGCAUUCUUCUGUUGCACUACGGAAAGAGAAGACUGCACUACUGCAGGUGAAAAACAACAUGGCUGCAGAUUUGGAGAGACUCCUGAACCACAGAGAGGAACUUUCUGUCAUGAAGCAAGUCCUUAUUAGCAUGCGCUCACAGCAGCACGCUGGACCUCUAUCUCUCGAGACCGAUGGCACGGGGACAGCAGUUCACCGACCCAAAGCUUUAAAAAGCACAGAUGAUGAGCAAUACAACUAUGGUCCCAGACCCACAGUGUUUACCAAUAAAGAAGUUCCAGAAUGGUAUAGAAAACUCAAACGGAAAACCAAGUAGGGACUUGUUCAACUUGUUUAAGAGUUUUAGGAUGCUCCAUGUCAUGCAAUCACGGAUGAAAGUCUGUUUAAGUUGUAGAAGCUCUAUUACAUAACUAGUUACACAGGUUUGUGUAGCCAUGAACAAUGUGAAGUUAUUAACAUUGAAACAUUAAACUAUGAUUUUUUUU
RNA transcript from Ctenopharyngodon idella (grass carp), 2761 nucleotides. It is a transcript of the gene named progesterone immunomodulatory binding factor 1, with no coding region annotated. The record is from RefSeq and is a predicted model, not a curated record. The transcript is spliced from 19 exons. Lineage: Eukaryota; Metazoa; Chordata; Actinopteri; Cypriniformes; Xenocyprididae.